RNAcentral lists this ribosomal RNA (468 nucleotides) under uncultured bacterium. Its description in RNAcentral is "partial 16S ribosomal RNA". It matches the Rfam family "Bacterial small subunit ribosomal RNA", at positions 28 to 507 of the family's 1533-position model. The record is from RNAcentral.
GAUGAACGCUGGCGGCGUGCUUAAUACAUGCAAGUCGAACGGAAAGGCCCGGAUCUUGUGGGGUGCUCGAGUGGCGAACGGGUGUGUAUCACGUGAGUAACAUGCCCUUGACUGUGGGAUAACUUUAGGAAGCAGGGGAUCAUACCGGAUAGGAGAUCCUGAUGCAUGGUGGGGGAUGGAAAGUUUCGGCGGUUGGGGAAGGACUGGCGGCUUAUCAGCUUGUUGGUGGGGUAGUGGCUUACCAAGGCUUUGACGGGUAGCAGGCCUUAGAGGUUGACCGGCCUCAUUGGGACUGAGAUACGGACCAGACGGCAACGUGAGGCAGCGGUGGAGAAUAUUGCGCAAUAGGCGGAAGCCUGUUGCAACAACGCCGCGUGCGUAAUAACGUCCUUCGGGUUGUAAACCGCUUUGGCCUGUGACGAGGCGGGAGUGACGGUAAUGGAUAAAAAAGCACCGGCUAACUACGUG